RNAcentral lists this ribosomal RNA (253 nucleotides) under uncultured bacterium. Its description in RNAcentral is "partial 16S ribosomal RNA". It matches the Rfam family "Bacterial small subunit ribosomal RNA", at positions 524 to 776 of the family's 1533-position model. The record is from RNAcentral.
UACGUAGGGUGCGAGCGUUAAUCGGAAUUACUGGGCGUAAAGCGUGCGCAGGCGGUUCGUUGUGUCGGCGGUGAAAGCCCCGGGCUUAACCUGGGAAUGGCCGUUGAAAAUGGCGAACUGGAGUGUGGCAGAGGGGGGUGGAAUUCCGCGUGUAGCAGUGAAAUGCGUAGAGAUAUGGAGGAACACCGAUGGCGAAGGCAGCCUCCUGGACCAAUAUUGACGCUCAGGCACGAAAGCGUGGGGAGCAAACAGG